Molecule: RNA transcript, 3739 nt
Organism: Lycium barbarum (goji berry)
Lineage: Eukaryota; Viridiplantae; Streptophyta; Magnoliopsida; Solanales; Solanaceae
Gene name: mitochondrial phosphate carrier protein 1, mitochondrial-like
Exons: 2
Source: RefSeq, a predicted model, not a curated record
UUUUAUACGUACUACUUUACUUACUGUAAGUAAACAGGUUUAGCUCCCUCAUUCCCGUCUCCUUUUGCCUUUUAUACAACUACUUAUCCCUUAAGCCUUAAAUUAACUAGUUAAGACUCACCAUCUGUUUUUGUGGUGAAAAAAUAUUGAAUUACACGUGGACGUUCCAGAUUAAAAGUGGAUUAAUGACAUCCGAGGGCCUGGAUUAGAAGCUGAGUAACAACCUAUAACUACCCGAAAUGGGAGGCAUACAUCGAAGCUUGUUCCGUCUCAAUUCACCAAAAUUCUCUCCCUAUUUCUCUUCUUCCCUAAUUUCUGUAUUCUUCUCUUCUUCUAGCUUUCAUUUCCAUUUAGCAUUUACUUGUAUUGUCCAUUUCUUACAGUUAAUAAGGAAACCCAGAAAAUCAUCCCAAAAUCGUGGUUAAUUACUUUUUAGUUACUGCUCAGCCCAUUACAAUUGGUAUCAGAGCCUUGUUCCUGCGACUGUGGCAUCACCAUGACAAUCAAGGAGGUGCAAAAACAGUUAGAUUCGGUGAUCAAAAAGCUGAAAAAAUACCAGCAACGAAGCAUUGAUUGUGAGUGUAUCGGAAAUGAAUGUUUAAACUGCGAUGAAGGUGUACGCAAGUGUCUGCUUUAAUCACAACUCUAGUUUAACUAGUAGACAGAAGUUGAAGACGAGGUGUUCGACGAAAUUCCCCAGAGGGAUGAACCUGAUAUGAGGAGCUUUCGGAUGCCACAUCUCCCGGAAAUGAAGGUCUGAAAUGCGAUGAAUUCGAGACAAAUCGACGUCCUUGAAGAUCCACAUGUACAACUCGAUUCUCUUGUCCUCGGUUGUACUCAGAGAUCUUGAUUUGGCCAGUGUCUGCUUUAAUACACGGCUGGAAUGUGUAGAAUAUAAGACAACUAAAGUUGCUUCCGACUUGUUUGAUAAACUGCCUGAAAGGGAUCAUGUCCAAGUAAUACAUGUAUGCAUAAGAAUUAAGAGCAAUUUCUCUCUUGCUCUAGCUGGAAAUGGAGUGAUUGUUCCUGCAUGGGAUCCAGGGAUAGGUUUCAAGACCGUGAAGUUAGUUGGUCACACAAAUAAUGUUUGAGAAUUAUCGAUGGAUAUUACUAACAUGUUUUGUAUGCAUAAAUCUUGUGAUAACAUCAGUAGAGUGUGGGAUACUGGAUGGCAGUGGUUUAUGCAUCCUUCUGUUGUGCAUAUUGAUUCUGUCUGUUUAUAUGCUGUCAUGCCAACGUAUAGUUCUGUUUACAGUGGUAAAGGAGACCUCUCUUCUUUCCAAACUCUUGAAGACCUCAAGGUAGAAUUGGGUUCUUUUGUUCUUGUUGGCAUUAGAGAGCAUUACAUGCCUGGGAGUAAUAGAGUAUAUGCGAAUAGUAUUAUAUCUGGAAACGUGAUUCUCCCAGGUAUUUUGCUUAAUGUUUCGUUUGAUAUUGGCAUAAAUUUGCUCACUACAACCUGUAGCAAGUUCGCGUGUCCUUUCGGCCAAGGUAUUUGAUCCUGGUUCAUGUACGCGCAUUAUAACCAGUAGUAAUCCCUUGUUUGACUGUUAUAAUAAAUGCCUGAGAACACCUUGUGCAGUCAAAUUAUUUGUAAGAAUAGUCCACUUAAAUACUAUUCCCUGGAAGUUUGCAAGCUCUUGCUAUAUGAAGGCUCUAGGGGAGAAACGAGCAUGGAAAUGUGUAUUUCCGAAAUUUCCAGCUACUGUUAAAAAGUUGCCUUGUGUGGAUAUGGAACUAAGGCGAAUUACUUGCUGGGAAGAAGCUGUAAAGGCAUCUUGCUACAAGUUGCCUAUGAAUUUUGUGGAGCGGUUAUUGAUGGAAGUUAGUAUACUGCUGAUUGGGAAAAAGAGGUUAUUUGAUGAUGUUUUGGAGAAUGAAUAUGAAAGAGGUGUAUUUUUCUCGAGACAUCCAGUUGACAAGCCACAUGGCUGUUGUUCUGGUUCAAAUAUUCUGUUGCAGGAAGUUAAGUCUAAAAAGCAAACAGAAAAGGAAGAUUUUAGAGUUCCCAAUUUUCAUAACUCCCAGGUGAAUCAGGGAAACAACAAAUUGAAAAAAAUUACGAGUCUGAUUACGAGACAGCAUGGUAAGAGCCGGACCGUUAAGGAGUCCAAAGAGUUUGCAGUAAGCACAGAGCAUUAUUGUAAAGGUACCUCAGAUACUUUAUCUAUGGAUAAGCGAGAAGGUAUUUUGAAGCGAACUGAUCAACUCUUGCAUUUUAAACUGAGAGGGAAUCCUGUUAAUACCUUUGGUGAAUCACAUAUGACCAAUAUUGUACAGUUGGAAUUCAGAUCUAGUUCUCAAGUUGAUUUCACUAUCUUUUCCGGAUUUGUCAUAGAUGUUGAUAAUGACUCCCAGGAAGACGAGACAUGUAAAUCAUCACAAACAGGAGAAAUGGACUGGAGUGGUGACUUAUCAGAGACUUCCAUGGUGGAGUAUUUAUCUGAAAUGGACAUAUUUCAUGACGAUGUUGUUAGAAUAAUUGGACAAAAACAUUUCUGGAAAGCAAGACGAGCUAUUGCCAGCCAGCAGAGAAUGCUUGCAGUUCAAGUAUUUGAGUUGCAUCGACUACUCAAGUUCCAGAAACUGAUAGCUGGUUCGCCAAAUGUGAUGCUAAAAAAUAGUGCUUAUCUAGGCAAACCAUUAAAGAGGUUGUCUGCUAAAAGAUCUCCAUUGGAGUAUAGUGUCAAGGCACCUGAAAAUGUUUCGCAGCCCAAGAAUGAUUCGGAGAAGCCUAAAUCUAGGAUCGAAAGUCAAUUUUGCAUGGUCCCUUCAUUCCAUCGGAUCGAUUGGUGUCCCUACAGUUCAUAUAUUCAAUUCAGUUCCGAGAUAAUGGAAUCAAGGAUAAGGAAAAAUAAAAGGCAGUCAUGUUUGAUUGUCAUGCUAGAUGCUACAUAUUUUUGUUUUCUAUUUGAUUCAGGCGGCUCCAUUGACACCAUUAAGAAGUUUACUGCUAUGCUAUUCAACCUGAUUGCUGUAGCUCAACACUCGAGGUCUUUCACAUCAAUUUCAGUUUGAUCCAGGCGGCUUCUUCAUAAAAACAUCCUGUUACUAGAGUGAUUCUAGAGCCACCUUGCUGUUUUUACACCAAAUGAUUCUAGAGUUGAGCUGGAAAGUAUAUUCAUCUCAACAAAAGGUGGACCUUCCUGUUGAGAUAAUCUUUAAGGAAUGGAGCGAAGCUUUUGGAUGGGACACAUAUUACCUGUUCUACUUGCUACAAUAUAUAAUCAGAGAUAAGCAACUUCUGCGCGCUAAGCUUGGAGAACACUGUUUGGAUGUUCCUUUUGAUCCUGGUGACUCCAGUUCUGCAUUUACCGCCCUUGAGGACAAGAGUGCGGUUCAACAAGGGGGUAUUGAUACACAAAAUGGUUUCCAAUUUCCAGAUUUUCGAGAUCAUCCUUGAGGUCAAGGAUUAUUUGAAGCAGCAGGGAAUGUAAUGACCAUUGCAUAUGGUAAAAAAUGAGCUGCAGAAUAAUUGAUGAGGCUGCACAGAAUUAUUACACGUGGACGUUCCAGAUUAAACGUCGAUUAAUGAUAUCCGAGGGCCUGGAUUAGAAGCUGAGUAACAACCUAUAACUACCUGAAAUGGGAGCAGCUAUAGGCAUACAUCGAAUCUAGUGAACCCUCUCAAAUACCAUGGCAUUUCAUCGGGGCUUAUAACUAUAUGGAGAGAGGAAGGUCAUUGUGCUCUUUGGAGAGGCUGGUCAGGGAAACUAUUCGGAUAUGGAGUUCAAGGAGG